RNAcentral lists this ribosomal RNA (504 nucleotides) under uncultured bacterium. Its description in RNAcentral is "partial 16S ribosomal RNA". It matches the Rfam family "Bacterial small subunit ribosomal RNA", at positions 30 to 523 of the family's 1533-position model. The record is from RNAcentral.
AUUGAACGCUGGCGGCAGGCCUAACACAUGCAAGUCGAACGGUAGCACAGAGAGCUUGCUCUCGGGUGACGAGUGGCGGUCGGGUGAGUAACGUCUGGGAAACUGCCCGAUGGAGGGGGAUAACUACUGGAAACGGUAGCUAAUACCGCAUAACGUCGCAAGACCAAAGUGGGGGACCUUCGGGCCUCACACCAUCGGAUGUGCCCAGAUGGGAUUAGCUAGUAGGUGGGGUAAUGGCUCACCUAGGCGACGAUCCCUAGCUGGUCUGAGAGGAUGACCAGCCACACUGGAACUGAGACACGGUCCAGACUCCUACGGGAGGCAGCAGUGGGGAAUAUUGCACAAUGGGCGCAAGCCUGAUGCAGCCAUGCCGCGUGUAUGAAGAAGGCCUUCGGGUUGUAAAGUACUUUCAGCGGGGAGGAAGGCGGUGAAGUUAACAGCUUCACCGAUUGACGUUACCCGCAGAAGAAGCACCGGCUAACUCCGUGCCAGCCGCCGCAGUAA